Long non-coding RNA from Carassius carassius (crucian carp), 615 nucleotides. RefSeq lists it as uncharacterized. The transcript is spliced from 2 exons. Lineage: Eukaryota; Metazoa; Chordata; Actinopteri; Cypriniformes; Cyprinidae. The record is from RefSeq and is a predicted model, not a curated record.
AGAACUAAUUUGGUGAACAAAUAAACGCAAGACUGCCCUAAAAUCUAUUCGUUUAUUAUGAAAACUAUGAUUUAUCAUCACAUUGUCACUUGGUGUGUGUGAACGUCUUAAUUAGAGAAACAAGGUUUAAUUAAAACUGAAAUGUUUCACCUGUGCUCAGAUCAGCUGAGGCUAUAAAUAUUGUUCAGACGCUCGUCUUCGAGCACGAGGUGAACAGAAGUGACCAUGAAACUUCAUCUGACAGGAACCGGAAGUCCCUAAAGAAGUCCAGGAGCACGGGCUGGACACACAAACAGAGCACUAAUGUAUAUUCUGCGUACAUUUACAAGAUUAAGAAGGAGCGAUCUGUUCUCGUGAGUGACGCCUCCUCUUUGAUGCGGCACCUGUCCGGUGCGCACGCGCAGGUGUGUGCCGAGGCCGCGCGACUCCCAAAGUUCAACCGGCGGCGCGUCAUCACGCAGCGAGAGCUCUCCGCCGCCGCGCGCGCGCUCCGGCACCGAAGCUCGUGACGGCUGGAGAUUUAAAUGCUGCGCUUUUAGAUGUCAAUUAAAUUAAUAAAGCUUAGUUUUUAUAAACCCUGUCUUUAUGCAAUGACGUUUUGUUUGACGUAUUGCA